GCAGCAAUGCCGACAACUCCAUGGAGCUCCAGAGAAUUUAAGAAACAGUCCGAGUGGAUAAAAUAAAACACUGACUGUGCGUGUGUGUGUUUGUGUGUCGAAGGAAGACACAGGAAGGAAGAAGGAUAGAAAAGAAGCCAGACCUGAAGACUGGAAGGGAAUAAGACAGACAGGGAAACAUGACGCAAUCCCCCCGUUUCCCAACCCCCAUCAGUCUGCCCAUCGGUGCUGCAAAGCACAAGGUGACAGAUUUUCUUCUCACUCACACAUUUCUGAUGCAACCCCCCCCGGAGGAAAGCCGGCGGUCGGCCUCUGGCUCGUGGUGAAACGGUAGCGAGGGUCUAGCACUCGCGAAGCCACAAAGCCUGGCGAAGCUUCCCGGAGGCUCGAAACGAACGCUGCGGAGGCCGAGAGCCCAAAGAGGUGCACAGAAGGUGUUUGGAUACCAACACUUGCCACACAUUUCUUUUCGUUCACAGAACGCUCCCUGCAGGUUCAACCAGGGCAGCAGUGCUGCACAGCUGUAGCAGAAAGCUGCGCCACAUUGGCCACGUUCCUCUGAGGCAAUGGUAUCUCAUUCGGUGACAUCAUUAGACCAAGCCCUCGCAGCGCCUGUGGAAGAGCAAGUGAGCAAAGUCUGCGGGACCGGCACCCGGGUCAGAGCACUGCUGUGGGAGCAUCUGACUGCGGGACACUGAUGGAUGUCGGGAGACGGAAGCCCACCAGCCAUCUGGCGGGCCGGAGACACCGACGGGGGAGCGCCAUCGAUCUGUGUCAUGUCUACGGGCUCGCGGCCUGAGAUGUGGAAAAUGACAUGGCACUAUUUGUGAAAUUCUAACAAAGGGGCGUCGACGCUUAUGCAGGCGAAUGAGACUUUACAAAGAGAUCAUGAAUUGAGAAACGUAUUAGUUAGAUUUUCUUACUGGCCCACUGUGAACUGACUAAACUUUUCUUCUGAGACUAUUUUCAAAUGCAAUCUGCUAACUGGCCAAUCUGCCACAGUGAAGAUUUAGAGAAACUCGUUUUCGGAGUUUGUGUCUUAUGUGCCAUUAUCCUUUUUGUGAAGCGUCAACGGCAGCAUGAAUACAUCAUUGAACAAACAACCGUAAUUACUUUUUACAUGUUUACACAUAAAUCUAGAGUUACGCUCCCAACAUAUUGAGGAACAAAGGCACCGGAAUGAGUCACCGUGCUUUACUUCUUCCCUCGUUUGAAAUUACACAAUAAAAAAAAAAA
This is a long non-coding RNA of Gasterosteus aculeatus aculeatus (three-spined stickleback), 1236 nucleotides long. NCBI's taxonomy places the organism in Eukaryota, Metazoa, Chordata, Actinopteri, Perciformes, Gasterosteidae. The record is from Ensembl.